CCUACGGGGUGCAGCAGUGGGGAAUAUUGGGCAAUGGGCGCAAGCCUGACCCAGCAACGCCGCGUGAAGGAAGAAGGCUUUCGGGUUGUAAACUUCUUUUCUCAGGGACGAAGCAAGUGACGGUACCUGAGGAAUAAGCCACGGCUAACUACGUGCCAGCAGCCGCGGUAAUACGUAGGUGGCAAGCGUUAUCCGGAUUUACUGGGUGUAAAGGGCGUGUAGGCGGGAAAGCAAGUCAGAUGUGAAAACCAUGGGCUCAACCUGUGGCCUGCAUUUGAAACUGUUUUUCUUGAGUACUGGAGAGGCAGACGGAAGUCCUAGUGUAGCGGUGAAAUGCGUAGAGAUUAGGAGGAACACCAGUGGCGAAGGCGGUCUGCUGGACAGCAACUGACGCUGAGGCGCGAAAGCGUGGGGAGCAAACAGGAUUAGAUACCCUUGUAGUC
This 443-nucleotide ribosomal RNA is filed under the name uncultured bacterium. RNAcentral's name for it is "partial 16S ribosomal RNA". It matches the Rfam family "Bacterial small subunit ribosomal RNA", at positions 338 to 795 of the family's 1533-position model. The record is from RNAcentral.